CCUUGCAGUGCCUUUUUUUUAACGAAGUAUACGCGCUUCCUAUUUUCGCUGGCCAUUUCACCGUCACGAAACGCGCUCUUUCUGCAUUUGUCGAGCAAAUUCCCACAACGCCGACACGCGAUUGGUCACAACACGAAUCGCCUACAGAUGGGAAAUCGCAGGACUAAGUAACCCCUCACGAGACGACGAUAUUGACAGCGAGCUUGCGCGUGUGACGGCCAGGCGGGGGCCGUUCUCGACGAAGUACAGCAGCCAACGACGGGUGUGCCGCAGAGUGAGGAAAAGCGAAAGCAGAGCUACUUUGGGCGUUUUACCUGUCUUUGGAUCUACUCUCACAACAGUUUUGCUUCCGUGAAGGUGUGCUUACGCGCGUUGCUGCGGACGCAGCUGUAUACUGUCUGUGCACUGCACUCGUGUCAUCAGUGCCCAUCGAAGAACAGGCACCUGGACUCGCACGUUGUUCCGAAGGCUCCUCUUUUCCAACUACACGUCUCUCUCGCGCGCGCACAGGUUUUUGCAACUGCCUUGGUGCUGUCGUGCUUUUUCUUUCCUGCCCCUUUCUCUGUCUCCCUUUUUGUGCCUGCGCCUCCCUCUCCCUCUCUCUCUUUGCCGCUUUCGGUGUCUUUGCUUGACCUCUUUGCGAAGGUCCUGUUUUUGCUGCUGCUGCUGCUGCGCCGUUACAUGCGUCGGUGCUCUUUGUAAAAGCGCCUUCAUCGUGCCUUUUUCUAUUAUUCUUUUUUUAAUUUCAAGGCUGACACACACACACACACACACACACAUACUAGCGGCAACAACACCAACAACAAGGGAACGGAGCACGUCCUUCUUCCUCGGCCUCUCGUUUCUUCCCGUCGUUUGUUGUUUCUGUCCAUCUUUUUCACUCAUCCUGAAAAACGUGUUCACGUCGUCUGUCAGCUUUACACACCGUGAUUUUCUUGUGUUCUUCUCGUCAAGCUCUCUCACCUUCUCUCAGUACGCGUCCCUCCCUCCUCUCUCCUCCUCCUCCUCUCUGUUUCCUUUUGUGGGGUUAGCUUGUGCUUCAUCAAAGAGUGUAUAGCCGUUGUGAUUUUCCUUUUCCGUUUGAUCUGUUGUGCGUAUCGCUGUACACGCGACAAGUGUUGCUCUGUUAUUUUGCUCUCCUUCCCUUUUCCAGCUCCUCUCUUCUUCACGCCUUGUCCUUCGUUUUUUUUUUUUUCAAUUUAUCUUCCCUCGUGCGUCUGCGUGCGCCCCUACUUUCUCUGUGUUUCUACGUGUGUCUGGCUCUCUCCAUAUUGGUGUGACCAUUUCUUGUCCCCUUCCUCUCUUCCUUGGUGCACAUAGUGGCAAGUGGCGCUUUUUGACUGCGUCGAUUCUAUUUCUUCUCCCCUGAUCGUGUUCCUUCUCCUUUGCCGAUCAUCUUCAUCUGCCAUCUUUAUUCUUGUUAUCGUCAGCACAUAGUUGUCCCUGCGUCUGAGGGGGAAGCUUCAGCUGCUCUUUUGCGGCUCACGUGCCGUUCUCUCUCUCUCGUGUAUCAUUCGCAUUGCUCUUCCCUUCAAGUUUCUUUCAGCGAAACACACACGGAAAAGAACUGCCGGGACUGCGCCUUGUUUCUGUUGUGUGGUUCACAGGAGAGAGGGCCUUGCGAAGGGCAAAUGGGAGGCGCCCAUUUCGAUCGUGUGACUAACACCAGCGGCACACCAACGAAGGGGAUACACCUCACGUCCGAAGAAAAAAACGACUGAGGUGCCUCUUUACCAGGAAGAAGCAACGAAAGAAAAAUAAGAGAGAAACAUCGGAGAGUAAAGAUACACGUGUGCCUGUUACCGUGUCGGUAUCUUAGAUUUGGUGUGUUUGUUCGUGUUUGGUGCGUACCUGUUCUUGUGUUGUCGUUGUUGUCCCCCUCUCUUUUCGCCCUUUGAAAGUUCUGCAUGCUGUGUGUGCGGGUGUCAGUUUUGGUGUGCUGCCUAUUCCUUCUGUUCACCGACCUUAUUCCCUGCUCUUUUUCUUCGCGGCGGUACACGAGCUUGUCUUUCUGUGUGUGUGUGUGUGCUUGCGCUUGUAGCGUUGAUAUCCGUGUACCAGUUUCGUCUUUUUCUUUUCUCAAACCUCUCUCUCCUGCUAUCACAUAGCGCUGUAGUCGGGGGUUCUGCUCCCCCCCCUUUUCGCCUUUCGAAAGAGCAGCCGACCGAAUAUCUUGGAGCAGCACGCUUCGGUUAUUGUCGUCGCCAACGCCUUCGUUGCUGAAUCUGUGUGCAUGUGGUGUGUCGAGAAAAAGAGAAAGGAAUGAGUGCAACUGAGCCACUUUCGGUAUCACGUGUGCCACAAACGGAGCUAUACUCUCCUUCUUUUUUUUUUCGCUCCCGCGCACGCUAACACGCACGUACACCCCUCAGACAUACCCCCUCCCCCUCGUUACACGUCACGGUCAACACCUUCGAACAACCAAAGAGACGGCAAGCGAGUACAGCAUUUGAGCCUAACUUACCAAUUCUCUCCCCUCCUCCUCCCCAGUAACGACUCACCGAAACGUUUGUGAGUGCUGCACUUGCAUUAUAUUCAGUCUCGGGCGUAAACGCUGUUCGGUUGGCUUCUUUUGUUGCCCUCGCUCUGUCUUUUGGGCUCAUCGUUUGCGCCUUCUAGUCUGUUUGCCCACCCGCUGCGGCGCUGAUUCCUGUUGCCCUCCGCCUCCCCACCCGCACACCCACACGCACCUUUUUUUUUGCUAUGUCGCUCUUUUGACCCCCUCUUUUUGCUGCCUUGUCUUGUCGCCUCCAUCUCGCGUCCUUCUCCAUCGCCUCACCGUCCAGCCUCCUCUUUAUCAUCCUUCUCAAUCCCUCCAUCUUAUUCCCCCUCCCCCUCCCCCACAACCACUUCUCCAUCUGAUUCUUUCUCAGUUUUUUUUUUUGGUUUCUUUUUUUGUUUUGUGUUUGUGCUCACGUGUCGCUUCUCAUUUUUAUUCGCUUUGGGGGAGUCUCACGUGCGUCUGUCUUCUUGCUAUUUUAUGUUUUCCCCGCUUUUUAUUUCGGAUCGUUUUGCUGCGAGUGGUGUAUGUAGGCAACCACACACCCUCCCCUUAUUUGAAACAACACACACGCACGUAAUCAUAAGCGCCCCUUUUUUUGUCUGUUUGUUUUGCUGUGCUCUUCUUCCGCUCAUCCUACCUCCGCUUUCUGCUCGUCAUAUAUGUUUAUAGAUAACAUAGUGCUUAUUUUCUCCUCUGUGUUCAGGCAUCUGCCUCCUCCCUCCCUCCCUCCUCCUUACCAGCACUGCUCUGCUCUCGCUGUCUCCGUCUGUUCCAGGUCGUUUUCUCCCCCUUUACAGCUUCGCUUUUUUUCGGGCUUCUUUGUCUCUCUGAUGUGAGCACCUUCGUGUAGUUGUCGCUGGUUGAUGCUAUUGUCUCUCUCCCGCCCGACCUCCCUCUCCCCACUCCAUCAAGUGCGAUAUCGAAUCGCUUGCUUGUUCUAUCCCUCUCCCUCCGACUUCCACUCCACCAUCCCCCUUUCGCACCUUCACCUUUCCUCUUGUUUGUUUUCCUUUCUAGCGGCUGUAUCGUGAUCUCUUUUUUUUUGCUGUCGUCUUGUGUGUCUGCGAGCAAUCGUGGCCGUGUGUGUUGGGUCUUGUUCGGGCCUGCAUAUUGUUUCUCUUCUAGCUGUGCCGUGCUGUGUGUGUUUUCUUCUUUUUUCCAUUGGACACGUUCCGCAAGCUCACCCACGGCAGCCACCACAGAGUUGCCUUUUCUUUUUUUUUUCGCUCGCGCGUGCUGGGUGGGCGCACACGCCUCCUGCGGUGCCGUGCCGGUGUAUGAGAGGGCGCGGAAAGCGCCAUCCGCGACAUCAUACGAGCCCUGUUUUUGCACCGGUUUGUGGAUAGGCGACAGUGGGCAGAGGAGAGGGUUUGCUCGGCACAUGUUGCACGAGUAGCACGUCGCGGCUGUAGAAAGUACGUAAACCCAUCAAACAGCUCACCUGUGGACAGGCAAACGCAGCGUACGCACCUCUCCGUGUGCCGAUGCGUGAUGGCGCAUCUCGACUCUGAUGCGAUAACUCCUCACUCGCCGCGCAGCCAACCGAGGAUCCUGGCGGGGCACAUUGGAGAAGAGAAGGAUGCGAUUGACCGGGAUGGGAUGCAGCCAGGGGGAGACGUGGGGAAUGGGGCGGCGAGCAUAUUACGCCGGCGUUGGAUGUAUGAUGGAAGGAGAAAAAUUGCUCCCUUUCUCUCGGCGCGACACACGCACCAGGAGAGCAAGGAAAAAGUCGAGAUUGGUGGGGACUCUUCCACAGUGGUCGUGAGCCCUAACGUGAUUGCCGCCACUCCGCGCGAAAACCGCAGCCCACUUGACAGGGCCAUCACUCCACCAUCCCCGCUGCAACUGCUCCCCAAGACGAUUCUGCCUGCGUCCGUGGUCGCCUCCACGUCACUCGCCAGGCAACACGGUGUCCGUGGUAACGUGCGGCCUGUCGACAAGGCCUCAACGUAUAAUGACGAGCAGGCCAACCCAGAAGAGCAUAGUAGUCCGUCGUGCUCUAUAAUUGCCCCUUCCAGCAGCGGCGGCGGUGACUUUUCACUGGAGGCCGACAACGACGCGCAGCUCAGCAACGCCCCGUGCCACGCGCCGUUGGGGAGGCGGCUCACUCAGCUGGAGCUACCUUUUCCACAGGUGACGCUCAGUAGCCUUUUGCAGUCUAACCAGUCUACCUCCGCCGAUGGCGUGGGCACGUCUGCCGGCUCUCAGGACACUCGGCUGUCGUCGAAGCGGAGCACGGCAAGCCGCCGCUGCUACGUGCCAGGGCGUGCUUCUCGGCUCCACUCAAACACCCUCGUUUCCGAAGGCGGUGGCGGGAUGCUGAGCGCUCUCUUCAGCAACACUUCACGGGCUACAACACAAGCUAGUGAAGUCACCACACGCGCGCCGAACGAGUCCCUCCACGGCCUUGACACAAGCUACAUGCGGGCGUCAUUGCUGUCCCUCUCCAGUGAGACGGAGUCCGCUUCAGAGGGCACAUCUUUGACGCCAGUGCAGCAACAUGAUGAGUCCAUCACGUAUCGCUCGUCGCUUCCGCCGCCGCCGCCGCCGCCGCCGGUGCGCACGAGGACCUUCACCCUUGCUGAGGCCACGGAAAACGCGGCGCAUGCAGCUGCCAAGCAUUCUUCGACUCGGUUGACGCCGUCUGCGCUGAUGACACCGCCGUUGAUGGCGGUAGAACCGCGGUCGCGGCUACCCUCUUUUCGUACGCGCAACCCCCUCAUGCAGCCGCGACAACUCUCGGACGGGCACCUCGGUGAACAUGCAGUGGCCCCAUCUCAGUUCCAUGAUGAAGACGCACCCGCGGCAGCCGGCACCCCUCGCUCCUGUUACCGAGGCCCACGCUCUGCCUUGCUUCGAGGCUGCGCAGACAGAAGGCAAAGCGCUUCGCGCACCCCACCCAUCGCAGUGCUCGUCCCGCUUCCGCCGAAGUCGGAGGAACUGGCACCGGCACCGGCACCAGCGUCAACACCAGCAACAGCCUCACCGCCGCCUACGCAACCACUCGAUAGCGACACUUAUGCGGUGAACGCAAAUAGCCUGGCCUCCGAGAUGAGCUUCCGCUACCGAGCGCGGCCUUCUCCCAGGGCACAGCAACUAGAUCCGGCGUCGGUGCUGGAGCCGCGCGCUUCUUUAUGUGUGUCACCGCUUCACCCUUCGCUGUCUCAAGUUUAUGUGCUCACUCCGAGGCCGCAGCCGCCGCGGUCGACGCCGGCGCGCUCUUCUCCCCCUCGCAGUGGCGAUCCUACACUGCUCGAGUACGUUGCUAGCUUGAAGCCACCACGCGGCUCUUGCAGCAUCCGCAGAGCUCUUCUGUCUGUUGGCGUAGCUCUCUGCGCCGUGCCGUUGUGCGUGGCCAUUCUGCUGUUUGGUUUACAUUACUGGGCUGUUACGUUGCAAGAGAAGAGCUAUGCGGAGGUGCUGCUGCACCCUCGCGUGGGGACGAUGCUGAAAGUCGACUUGGAGCUGCUGCUCAGCAUUCUGCUUUCGAUUGUGGUGGUGGGUGGUGGAAGUGGCGUCGUCAUCUACGUCGUGCUUUAUCGCCUCGCCAUCCGCCAUCAGGUGCGUGCCUUUGCUCUGUGCGUGCGACUUGCAGAUACGCUGUCACCGUUGGAUGUGCAUCACCUCGCAGCGGAGGACUCGGAGGGUCGGCACAACAGCGCGAUGCCGAUCGACGCCGCUGCCGCGGCGGCACAGCAGGCCGACAACGGCGAUUCUCGUGCGCAGUGGUUUUCUCCGUUUGUCGCCCGAUGGCAUGAGGAGGUGAGUCGGCUUGUUAAGCUUCUCACGUGCCCGAUAGAGGUGAGCCAGGCAGAGUGGCGCUCCUUUCUCUUCUCGGAGCGGCGCAGCCUCGCCUUGCCAAACGAGGGCACCAACGGGAGCGGCGAUCUCCCCGUGACAGAGACGACGCUGGCUGAUGGACCCUUUCAGAACAGCAACAACCGCCGCUCGCUCCCUUUUGGUGUGCAAGCGUCUGUGCCCAUGACGGAGAACGAGCCGUGGCCGCCGCAUGAAGCGCAACCCGGAUCGCGGUAUCGAAUGAGCGAAGCCGUCUUCUCCCGGCGACCGCAGCACCCAGUGGACGUGAGCAAGCGGCAAGAGGCGGUCACGGUGGUGGUGUGCCGUCUCAUGGCCCCGGCGGAGCUGCUUGUGGAGCAGAGGCCCCUGACGCAGGCGCAGCUGAAGGAGCUGCAGCGACUCUCGAACGAGUUUCAUCAGCGCCUCCGCACCGUGCCGCGGACGUCGUGCGCUGCCGUUACGGAGGUGGGUGUGUCUGAAGUGGUCUUCUCCUUUAAUACCUUCUCUCCACUCCCCUCUCUGGUUGCAAGCCCUGCAGCCGUGGCGCUGGCUGUGGUAGCACAAAAGGCGCUUGUGGAGUGGUCGCCGACGUAUCGCGGCACCCCGGUGCAGUGGGGCAUCGCCGUGCACCGUUUCGAUGCUUACAUAUGCCCCACGCGCGGUAUGCAAGGGCGGCUCUACGUCAGUUUUGGGACGGUCGAGUACGACUUUGCCCGUCAACUGGCGGAGCUGGCGGCACUGUUCGACUACGGCGCGUUGUGUCACGCCGGGUUUCUUGCGGACGCUUCGUGUGAAUCGCAAUGUCUCCCCGUAGACUACGUGAUGGAUUUGCGUCAGCAGGCCUUUUUGGUGUACCAGCUGCACGACGGCGACGUCGACAGGGAGCAGCGGCUGCAGAUGAAUAGCGCCAUUGCGUCCAUGCGCAACGGCGAGUACAAGGCAGCUGCGGAUGCACUGGGAAUGUGGAGGAGAAAGAGCGGCGGCUGCAGCGGCCUGCCGAGGACCGCUGCACACCUGCGAUAUGUUGCGGGGUUUCUGGAGCGCGCCGCGCGUAAGCGUCGGCUGCGCGUUUCUGAGGCCACAGUAGAGGCAGUAACCGCACCGUCUUUCACUUGUGCGGUCGAGGGUGUUGCCGAGUGGGCUGCAGAAAGUCUUCUGACGUCGUAUUUCCGCCCACCUCCUGUGUGGGAGGAGGAGGAGGCGCCGCGAGCGCCGAGCCCUGAUCUGCUUCGCGCGCCAGCUAUUCUGGCGACGAGCGGAGGCGGUAGUUGCGGCUUGCGAAAACGGGAGUGCGGUAGCAGCAACGUACUUGUGCCAUUUUCCCCGCAACCAUCGCGUGGCGCCGCGGGCGAGUUGGCAACGUUCUUUCGAUCACUGAUGCGCCGCUCAUACCAGGCUCGCACCCGCUACGUAUUGUCGGCUGAGCAACGGGAGGGGCAAGUAGGAUCCAGAGCCAUGGGGGAGCCCCCGCAUCAGCCGCGUGAGGUCUUGGCGGCGAUAGAGGGCGACGCAAGACCUCCUAGCUCUUUGCAGAGGUGUUACGGGCUACCCACUCCCGGGACCGAGUCUGUUUCAGGAGAACGUAACGUGCUCGAGGACGGCUCUGCGCCUCUUUCGCCGCGUGACAAUGUCACCGGCUGCUCGUCCUCGUUUCAUGCGACGCGCUCUGUUUUCGAGGCGUCGACCCCGACCACUACAUUUCCGGACGUGACGUGUGGAGAUCGGAAGUGGGCCGCGCUCGCACUUCUGACAGAGCCGGACCAAAGCACGGUCACCGUGACCGCGUCGAGGCCGCGCCUCUUCUCGAACAGUUGGAGUCUUGCCGAAUCUGGUGUGCCGGAGAUGCCGACGCUGACGCCACUGACCUCGGGGGUUUUGCGGUCUUCGCAGUCGGAUGUCCGGCGGCAACGUCACGCCUCCAUUCUAAUCUCGGCAGCGAAAAAGGAAGACGAUGCGGCGGGUCCUGUCGCCGCCUGUGCAUCUGCAAAGGACAAUGCAACUCUGCGCUCUUCGCGAGGGCGGCGCGACAGCGGCGGUUGCAGGAGUGAGCGACCACGCGGUCGUCAUGGCUCCCAGUUUACGACGGAGGUCCCGACCAGCGAUGAGUUGUCGUCACGGCUGUUGGGGCAUCAAUGCGUCUCCCAGCUGACCGACACCACGAUCGCCCGCUUCCCGUCCGAGGUGAGCCACGAAUCUCUGUCGGCGCGCUCUGGUUCAGUGCGUCGGCGCGCCUCUGCGAGCACCGCCGCCGCCUCCUCGGUUCUCCCUCUCUUUGCGGACAGCAUGGUACCCUUUACUGUGCAGGACAGGACAGAGGCGCGCAGUGAGGCGGAGACUGCCUGCGAGGCAGAUCUUAAUCAAGAGCUGUCGAUGAUGUCUGUUGCGCAGCGCUCCCGUUCCCGGCGCAGCCACCGUGCGACGGCGCAGCCAUCGUCUGUGGUCUGCUCCUGUACGAGGCGCAUCGACAACAGCUCGAGCAACACGGUGAUGGUCUUCCAAGGCUUCCACCCAGACGGCUAUCUAGUUGUGGUGAAGCGUGCGGACCGCCGUGCUGCGAAGCAGGUGGCGCAGCUGCGGAACGAAGUGGAUCUGUUGCGGGAGCUGCAUCACCGCAACGUCGUCAACAUCGUCAGUGCCUGGAAGGACGACGAGGCGGUGUAUUUCGCGAUGGAGUACGCUUGCGAAACGCUCGCGACCGUUCUGCAGAAGUUCAAGGUGCUGCUGCCCGGGGUUGUACGCUUCUACGCGCGUGAGGUGCUGAACGCGCUGGUCUAUCUGCACCGGGACUGCGGCAUCAUCCACCGCGAUCUGUCGCCCAACAACGUCAUCAUCACCAACACAACGGAUCGAAGUCGCGUGAAGUUAAUUGACUUUGGCCGCUCCAUCAUGGCACCGCACUUCUGCAGUGGCAGCAGUGGCAUGUCGACGACAGUGCCAGGCAACGCCAGCCUCGAGUUCACGGAGCAGCACUCGAGCCGCAACAAGGUAAGUGUCACGGACGUGCCCACGUCGGUCGUCGGGACGCCCCUCUUCAUGUCCCCGCAGGCUUGCAGAGGCCUUGCGCAUCCGACGAGCGACAUCUGGAGCUUGGGCAUCAUUGUGCACCUGUGCCUCACAGGGACCUACCCGUACCCGCCAGAGACCUUUACCGAUCCCGAGACGUUUGUUGCAAAUAUCGGGAGCGGCCGUUUGACCCCGGUGAUCGCGGACACUUGCGAGAUGACUGGCGAGGCACGUAGCUUUAUUGAACAGUGCUUGACCCUGAGCCACACCGAACGUCCCUCUGCCGCAGCGCUGCUGAAACACGGCUUUGUAGAACGCUGAGUGGCAUGCGAGGGCGUUUGCGUGAUCUUUUUCCCUUGCCGCGUAUCCUUUUUUUUCUUGGCUUCGGGCUGUCUUCUCGGCAACCACCGCAAUGAGUUCCCCUACCGACGCAUCCACCCGUCUGUCUCUCUCUUUUUUUUUCCCAGUCCUGCUGUGAGCUAAUCUGCCGCGUGCAGCUUGAUGCCAGCUAGGAAGAUUGUUGCUGUGCGCGCUGCUUUUUAUUCCGCCCUACUCCCCCUUUUCUGCGUGUCUGUCUGAUUGCCUCUGUUGGCCAGCGGCAUGAGUUCUCUGCGAGUCGCCUCCUUCCUCCCGUCCCGUGCUGUGCUUUUGAGCGUGGCUUGCUAGACGACUGCUGCUCCCUUCUCGCCUUAGUUUUUCCUGUCCAUCUCCCCCAUGUACGUGUUUUUUUUUUCUUCUCGGGUGGGUUGGGUGGGCGGGGGUGGAGGAGGAGGGCGCUCGGCUCUCGCCGACGUAUGAGCGAGUGCCGCUUUGCGUCUGUGUGCCUGCAUGUGCGCAUAUCUUUUCCUCAUGAACCCCUCUUGUUGCUUUUAUCGCCGUUGCUGUUCCUCUCCCUUUCUCUCGUCUCCUUGUAAUGUUUGUGCCCGUGUGUGUGUGUGUGUGUGUUUCUUCUUGUUCUCUGCUGGCAUUCCCCCCCCCCUCCCACACCGCCACCACCCACCACUAGCCUCUUCCCCCUUCCUUUCAUCUUUUCCUUUUCUUAACCUUCUCCGAGGACAGUUCACAAUAGGCUGGAACUGUCUAGGUGUGGUGGACGCGUUCAUGCGUGCAUGUAUGUGCGUGUGUGUUUAAAUGUGCACCCGUCUAUAUAUGCGUAUAUUCCCUGUAUCUUCCCCGCAUUCCUUGCUUUGCACCGUGGUAUCUUUCCGGUUUCCAUGACUUUCUUCUCUGCACUCCGCCCCUUCCCCCUUCCUUUCGCUGCCUCUGCCUCUGCCUUUCUCUCAGCGACUGUUGCUCCUACGCCUCAUGCGCCAACGACCUUAAUGCGAUGAACGCAACGCAACUGAAGAGAACAAAAAGGCAAAAUGCCAUCAAAGGAAUAGAAAG
RNAcentral lists this unclassified non-coding RNA (10690 nucleotides) under Leishmania donovani. RNAcentral's name for it is "gene:LdHU3.35.4230(CDS-product:protein_kinase_put ative)". The record is from RNAcentral. Lineage: Eukaryota; Euglenozoa; Kinetoplastea; Trypanosomatida; Trypanosomatidae.